This is a non-coding RNA of Malurus melanocephalus (red-backed fairy wren), 557 nucleotides long. NCBI's taxonomy places the organism in Eukaryota, Metazoa, Chordata, Aves, Passeriformes, Maluridae. The record is from the annotation of a RefSeq genome assembly.
AAUGGCAAUGCCAAACGUCCUUGUGCCGCUCACUGUGCCGGUGCUGUGAGAGGCGGGGGCUGAGUCCGGCCGGGGCGGAGCUGGCGGCGGCGGAGAGGAGGCGGCACGGCCGGAGCAGAGAGCCGGGGCUGGCGGGGACAGCGAUGCUCGGGCGGCGGAGCGGCGGGAUGCGGCGGGGUCGGGGCGCGGGGCUGGCGGCGCUGGCCGCGGUGCUGCUCGUGGCUGUGGCCAGAGCCCAGGUAGAGCAGGAGCAGUGGCUGGAGACCACCGACGGCACCGGCAUCAACAUCAGCUGCUCCCACACCAACACACGGAUCGGCGAAACGAUCUGCUGGUAUCGUCAGCUCCCGGGCCGGGGCCCCGAGCUCCUCGUACUCACUGCUAGAGGGUCCAGUGAUCUGCCGGACAGAGAGGGCCACCUGUGGGUGUCGGAAGAUCGCAAAUCCAGCGCUCUGUACCUCGCUCGGCCCCGGCGCGGGGACGCGGCCGUGUAUUACUGCGCGCUGAGUGACACGGGCACAGGAGCCGCGGCUGCGGCCGGGCACGAACCGCCGCGG